This 640-nucleotide long non-coding RNA is filed under the name Bos taurus (domestic cattle). RNAcentral's name for it is "long non-coding RNA NONBTAT024138". The record is from RNAcentral. Lineage: Eukaryota; Metazoa; Chordata; Mammalia; Artiodactyla; Bovidae.
GUUUGAGAAAUCUAUCGUCACAUUCUUACUGCACAGUAAAGUGUCAAGGGCUGUAAAGAUUUAAGUGUGACCUCUUCAUCCCACCGGUAUGGUGGGAUAAAAACUGAAAAUACAGGUAUGCUCCAGCUAUAAAUAGAAGAGAUACUGGAAUACUUCUUGGUGAAAAGAAGCAGUGUCAUUACUUUUUGUCAUGCACAAUUUUUGGAAUAAGGUUUUACUUCAGAGAAGUCAGGCAGAUCCAUAUAUGAGAAAUCUUAAUUGUCCUCAUAAAGACACCCAUAUUAAUGAAUCAAACCAUUUAAUUUAUAAUAUGAAAAUAAAGGCAGCAACUGACAGUUAUAAAUUUCAGUAUCACUUUAAAAUGUAAUACUGUUGAUAUUGCUGUAGUGUGUUGAUUACAUGUGAUUUCCUUAAAAAAAUUUUUUUUGAGGUGUUAGUGUCACUUAAACUUACAGAAUUAACUUAUAGAAACAAGUUUUGUGAAACUGUUCAGGCAUUUGAUAUAAGACAUACAUAUUAGAAUAAAGAGUUUUGGAGACUGAAUUUAGACUUAAAAAUUCAGCUACUGAUUUUCAAAUGUUUAACCUAGAAGUGUGUGCAUAUUAGAGAUAUUAGAGACACCAUGUAGCUGUUUAAUUCU